This 199-nucleotide ribosomal RNA is filed under the name Enterococcus faecium. RNAcentral describes it as "partial 16S ribosomal RNA". It matches the Rfam family "Bacterial small subunit ribosomal RNA", at positions 1053 to 1253 of the family's 1533-position model. Lineage: Bacteria; Bacillati; Bacillota; Bacilli; Lactobacillales; Enterococcaceae. The record is from RNAcentral.
CGUCAGCUCGUGUCGUGAGAUGUUGGGUUAAGUCCCGCAACGAGCGCAACCCUUAUUGUUAGUUGCCAUCAUUCAGUUGGGCACUCUAGCAAGACUGCCGGUGACAAACCGGAGGAAGGUGGGGAUGACGUCAAAUCAUCAUGCCCCUUAUGACCUGGGCUACACACGUGCUACAAUGGGAAGUACAACGAGUUGCGAA